AACACGUGAGUAACCUGCCCUUAACUCUGGGAUAAGCCUGGGAAACUGGGUCUAAUACCGGAUAGGAGCGCCCACCGCAUGGUGGGUGUUGGAAAGAUUUAUCGGUUUUGGAUGGACUCGCGGCCUAUCAGCUUGUUGGUGAGGUAAUGGCUCACCAAGGCGACGACGGGUAGCCGGCCUGAGAGGGUGACCGGCCACACUGGGACUGAGACACGGCCCAGACUCCUACGGGAGGCAGCAGUGGGGAAUAUUGCACAAUGGGCGCAAGCCUGAUGCAGCGACGCCGCGUGAGGGAUGACGGCCUUCGGGUUGUAAACCUCUUUCAGUAGGGAAGAAGCGAAAGUGACGGUACCUGCAGAAGAAGCACCGGCUAACUACGUGCCAGCAGCCGCGGUAAUACGUAGGGUGCGAGCGUUAUCCGGAAUUAUUGGGCGUAAAGAGCUCGUAGGCGGUUUGUCGCGUCUGUCGUGAAAGUCCGGGGCUUAACCCCGGAUCUGCGGUGGGUACGGGCAGACUAGAGUGCAGUAGGGGAGACUGGAAUUCCUGGUGUAGCGGUGGAAUGCGCAGAUAUCAGGAGGAACACCGAUGGCGAAGGCAGGUCUCUGGGCUGUAACUGACGCUGAGGAGCGAAAGCAUGGGGAGCGAACAGGAUUAUAUACCCUGGUAGUCCAUGCCGUAAACGUUGGGCACUAGGUGUGGGGACCAUUCCACGGUUUCCGCGCCGCAGCUAACGCAUUAAGUGCCCCGCCCUGGG
Molecule: ribosomal RNA, 754 nt
Filed under: Micrococcus sp. 41
Lineage: Bacteria; Bacillati; Actinomycetota; Actinomycetes; Micrococcales; Micrococcaceae
Description: bacterial SSU rRNA
Rfam family: Bacterial small subunit ribosomal RNA
Source: RNAcentral